UUGGAGGGCAAGUCUGGUGCCAGCAGCCGCGGUAAUUCCAGCUCCAAUGGCGUAUAUUAAAGUUGUUGCAGUUAAAAAGCUCGUAGUUGAAUUUCGGGGUCUGUCCGUCGGUCGGGCUUCACGGUCCGUACUGGUGUGAUGGGUUCCUACCUUCUGAAUAACCGGCAUGCCAUUCAGUUGGUGCGCCGGGGAAGCAGAGCUAUUACCUUGAAAAAAUUGGGGUGCUUAAAGCAGGCUAGUGCUUGAAUAGAUUAGCAUGGAAUAACAAAAUAGGACGGCAUGGUUCUAUUUUGUUGGUUUCUAGGAUCACCGUAAUGAUUAAUAGGGAUAGUUGGGGGCAUUAGUAUUCAAUUGUCAGAGGCGAAAUUCUUGGAUUUAUUGAAGACUAACUUCUGCGAAAGCAUUUGCCAAGGAUGUUUUCAUUAAUCAAGAACGAAAGUUAGGGGAUCGAAGACGAUCAGAUACCGUCGUAGUCUUAACCAUAAACUAUGCCGACUAGGGAUCGGACGAUGUUAAUUUUUUAAUGACUCG
Molecule: ribosomal RNA, 531 nt
Filed under: uncultured Acaulosporaceae
Lineage: Eukaryota; Fungi; Glomeromycota; Glomeromycetes; Diversisporales; Acaulosporaceae
Description: SSU rRNA
Rfam family: Eukaryotic small subunit ribosomal RNA
Source: RNAcentral